AUCGCAGGUGGUCGGGUUUGGGGCGGGACUGUGGGCAGAACCGCUGUAGGGAGCCAUCUCCUGUGAGGCCCCGCUUCCCUUCCCCGAGUGGAAGCUCUGCACUUGCGGGUAUCGCGUGGGCUGGGACCCGGCUGCGAGUGGGAUAUGAUAAAAAUCUAAAAACAGGUCCUCGUAAGCAAGUAAAAUAGUAAAAGGCAAUAUUUGUUGGUAGCCUAUAGAGAGGCUCAUGUUAUCUCCAUUUAUAGAUGAGAAUCCCUGAGCCAAGAACGAUUAAGUGGUUGACGAAAAGGUUCUUAAAUUGGAUUGUAGUGAGGGUUGCACAACUCUGAAAUUUGCUACAAAGACAUUAAAUUGUACACUUAGAUUGGGUUAAAGGUGUGCCAGCGGCGGAGAUAGAAGAGACUCGCUGGUCACUAAUCAUUAAGCCGAGUUAAAGCGAAUUUGAGGAUGAGACUUGGGCACAGACAGGCCUUUCCUCCAAGGUUUGGAGCCAAUUUCUGGACACUACUUUCCCCCGGAGGGCCUGUCGGAGGCCGUUGAGGUGGGCAACUGUGGCUGCGUUAACUCCCUGGCGGGGGUGGUGUGGGGAGGGUGCAGCUUUGGAGUGAGGCCAUUGGUGUGUGUGGAGUAACCUGUUAGUAAUUCAGGUUAUGCGCCCGCUGUUUUUUCAAUUGUGACAAAAUAUAGUAUAAAUUUGUCCAUUUAUGACUAUUUUUACUGUACAGUUCAAUAGUGUUAUUAAGUGCAUUCACAUAAACUCUUCAUCUAGUAAAACUGAAACUCUAAACCCAUUAAAUAACAAUGACCCAAUCCCCUUCCCUUCUCCCCCCGAAACCUUAGUAACCACCAUUAUAUUCUGUGUUCCUUAUGAUUUUGACUGACUACGUCUGUAAAUGAAAUCAUACAAUAUUUGUCAUUUUUUGACUGGUUUAUUUCACUUGGCGUACUGUCCUCAAGGUUCAUUCAUGUUGUAGCAUGUGCUAGAAUGUCCUUCCUUUUAAGGCUGAAAAAUAUUCCACUAUAUGUGUAUACCACAUUUUGUUUAUCCAUUCAUCUAUCAGUGGACACUUGGGUUGUUUGCACUAUUUGGCUAUCAUUAAUAAUGCUGCCAUGAGCAUUAUUUAGAAUAUAAAUAUCUUUCAAUUCUUGGGAAUAGAGAAUCUAUGUGUUUUGAAUUUGACAUUCUUAAACAUUAAUAAUGCCUUUUCUCUAAUAUUUAAAUAAAUAGGCAAGAUUUGAGAGUGUGGAGAAAGUGUUAAAAUGGUAGUCUGAAGUCUUGAGUUCCAUUUCAGUGUGUCACAGUCGAGACCCUUGUGGACCAUUUGUGAAAUGGGUUACAAGCUGGCUCACAUGACUUCCACUCAUAAAUGUCAGCCAUACGUGGGAUGGUGCCUGAGGGACACUCACAAGGAAGUGAGGACACCAGAAUCAUGUGAAAACAAUCAGCAAACAGAGAGAGGAAGAGGGAGAGAGAGAAGGAAACAUCAAUGUGUUGUUCUACUUGUUGAUGAAUUCAUUGAUUGAUUCCCGCAUAUGCCUGACUGUGGGGGAAACUUUGCCUGCAAGUGUCCCCCCCCCACCCCCGUCAGCCACGGAUGAAAAUAAUACUGCCAAGACAUGAUCUGUUUGGGGAGGAAAAGCAGUCAAUCUCUCACAGGAGGACCAAGAGCCUUUUGUUCAAUGGGCUUUCAUUGGGUUCGUUUUGCACAAGAAGACAGAGAGAGGGGAUGAGAAGGAGGAAGAGAAAGAGAAACAUCAGUUGGUAUCCACCAAGCCACACCAGCCAGAGCACUUUGUUCCUAAUUUUAGAGGAAAGUUUUCAGUCUUUCACUAUUAAGAUUCUAGCUGUGAGUUUUUCAUACAUGGACUUUAUUAUUUGGAGGCAGUUACUUCUAUUCCUAGUUUGCUGAGUGUUUUUAUCAUGAGAAAGUGUUAAAUUUUGUCAAAUGCUUUCUCUAUAUCAAUUGAGAUGAUGAUGUGGUUUUUUUCCCCUUCAUUCUCUUACUGUGAUUGGUCAAUUAAUUUUCAUGUGUUGAAUCUUCCUUGUAUUCCAGGAAUAAAUCUCACUUGUUUGUGGUAUAUAAUCCUUUUAAUAUGCAUUGGGACCUACAUCCAAGAUUGCUCUAUCCAGCAAAGUUCUCAUAUAGAAUGGAAGGGCAGAUAAAGUGCUCCUCAGAUAAGGUCAAAUUCAAAGAGUUCAUCAUCACCAAGCCCUAUUACAUGAAAUGUUAAAGGGAUUUAUCUAAGAAAGAGAAGAUAAAAAAUAUGACUGUGAAAGGACAGCAAACUCACACCUAAAACAAAAGCAAACUAAGCAGACAGCUAGAUCAGGAGCAGAGCCAAAGAAAUGGAGAUCACAUGGAGGGUUAGC
Artibeus jamaicensis (Jamaican fruit-eating bat) is the source of this 2371-nucleotide long non-coding RNA. RefSeq lists it as uncharacterized. Lineage: Eukaryota; Metazoa; Chordata; Mammalia; Chiroptera; Phyllostomidae. The record is from RefSeq and is a predicted model, not a curated record. The transcript has 3 exons.